AUCUGACGUGUUGACAGCAAGAACAGCAAGCACUACCCCUUAAACAAAAUGUUUAGGAACUUCACAUAUCAUACAAACGAACACAAACAUAAAUGUGUCAUUCUCAAGGUGCCCUUGCCACUGGCUGAGUACCAUGAGGAGUGAGUACCUUUGCCAGACUAACUAACCGGUUCCAAAAAUGAUGUACAAGCAUCCACGCAGCACAAGAGACAAAUAAGAUAAGCAAAAAGUUAUCGGAACAACUCCAUUACCAAUAACUCUGAAGCUUUAUCAAAUCCAAUCAAACCGAAAUAAAAGGUAAAUCAUGGUGAGACCUCGUCCCUCCCACUUUUCAAGAUACAUACCUUAGCGAGAGAGAGCGAGAAGAUCGAGAGUAAGUCAAACUCGUUUUGCAACCAACCAGAUAUUCACCACAGAAGUACAUGUACAUAUGUAUGUAUGUGCACCUAUGUACAUAGUAUAGUCGAAUGUCCAUACUUAGCUUUAUACAAUACAUAGCUUUAUAUACGUAGGUUUUCAAGAGUGUUGUUGGGGGGCUCGUCAACAUCACACACGGAGAGAAGAGCAUACACAUACUCGUACACUUUUGCUUACAUUUUUAGAUAAGUAUUUCAUAAGAACUAUUUUCUAUUUCACGUGGGCAUUCAUAUUUAAUAACAAUGUGGCUAGGUUUUCAGUGUAUUAAACUCUUCCUUUCUCUAUUUAUUCCAUUUCUGUUCAUCCGUAUCUACGGUCGUAGUGUUGAGUUGAUUGCCCUAGGGCACUUUAGUCUCAAUUGUCUGCUCUCCCGACACUUGGAGGAGGAGGCCUGCCGUUUAAGAAAUUCUAG
This is a long non-coding RNA of Drosophila obscura, 829 nucleotides long. RefSeq lists it as uncharacterized. The transcript has 3 exons. Lineage: Eukaryota; Metazoa; Arthropoda; Insecta; Diptera; Drosophilidae. The record is from RefSeq and is a predicted model, not a curated record.